Molecule: long non-coding RNA, 6316 nt
Filed under: Bemisia tabaci
Lineage: Eukaryota; Metazoa; Arthropoda; Insecta; Hemiptera; Aleyrodidae
Description: lncRNA ENSSSA1UGG012942
Source: RNAcentral
UUACGCAGUUUUUCGCACUGAAGAUCCGGUAAAAGAUUGGAUGAACGUGCCAAAAAACCGUAGAUUUCAAGAAUCAUUCAUUCAAUCAUUGUUCUUUUUUGUCUGUUUCAGGUAAUGAAACUUCUUCAACCAUUCUACCACACCUUGAAAACUAAGAGGAAAUGACGGCGGGAAUGGGCGACACAUCAAAGCGGAAACGGUGGUCGCGGGUCGAGACUCAACCAGAGCGGCAAUGACAUCUUACAAUCCCGCCAAAAUCGCCGUCACCAGUUACCUUCACAAUCAAAGUGCUAUCAGCUUGAAACAGUCGCAGGCGCAAGGUCAGGAGCCGUCGAAGAAGAGCAAGUCGCGGGGUUCUUUGUCGCCGGGGGCGUCGCCACCGCCCGGGGCUCCGGUGCGGGACGCGGCGAGCCUCAAGUCGAUCAAGUACGGGCCGGGGCAUGAGAAGUACCCCUCGUGGCCGGCGGCGCAGGGUGACUUCCACGCGGAGGGCGCGCCCCCCAACGCCGUUGCAGCCCCCCAGACCGGCUCGUCCCGCUCCAAGUCUUGGGCCGACCAGACCCACUACCCCAAGGAGAAGCCGGCCGCCCUCGCUCGCCCUUACAACAAGCGCUCCAACGCCUCUUUCACCCAACAGUUGAAGACGGUGAUGGAGCGGUGCGAGAAGAUUUCGCCGGAGACGUUCGAGUGCCGGGGUCCGAUGGGGCCGCCGGGCGGCGGCGGAGCCGGGGCGCGGAAGACGCCGGAGGUGUUCCUGCCGCCGGUGGACAGGGACGGAAAACCCCUCGGGACGGAGGAGUACUCGGUGCCCUCGCCGCCCGAACGGGACGUCUCCCUGUCCCUCAUGGCCGAGCCGCAACUCACCGAAGCAGAUCUCGAGGAAUACGCCCGCACCUACCACGACUCCUCUCACUCACAGAUCGAAAGUGACUAUUCGAGUUGUUAUGAAGAUGUGGAUAUUAGCCAGAGUCAUCUCACCAGAGCUGAGCUUGAACAGUAUACGCGAGAUUGUGAGGGGAGACCCACUCAUGUGCAUCAGCCCUCCUAUGCCCAGUCGGAAGGAUACCAUAGCUACGUUUCCAGCACAGACUCCACCACAACUCCUUUCCUUGAUAGGUUAAGAUGUGACAAUGAAGCUGUAGUUGGACUGAACGAAACCAGGGCUGGAAGAGACUCAAGUGCCAGUUCAGGGUCUUCAAGUGAAACACUGAAGUGGCAUGGAUCCCUCAGUGACGUAUCUGUGAGCGGGAGCUCAUGCGGUGGUCACCAACAACUGAUAGCGCACAGUGCCAAAGUUCAAACGCCUCAGAGGCAUCACUCGGAAUCGGUUCUAUAUUUGGGACAAGCGAAUGCUGCAUGGCAGUCGAAUGUUCAGAGAAAUAAUCAAAUCAACAGUCAAAUGAGGAAAUUGUUUCCUGUGAGCACGUAUACGGUUCAACCCUCAGAAGCAGUUUCUCCGAGAUCCCAACCUAGUUUGAGUGUUGCUGAACGAAUCACAAGGCUCGAGCGUCAGCAGCCACAACAACAACAGCAAGCGGCACAGUCAGCACGCUACUCGUUCCUAGAUCCGGAUAAAAGGCACAAGGUUCCAGAUAAUUCCCUCAAAGCAAUCCAGAAAAAAGCUCUUCUCUCUUUCUACGAGCGGCAUCAUUCGACAUGGCGCUCAGAGCCGCAGCUCUCCCCAACAUCAGCUCCCCCACCACAACCACCGCCUAGACCAAGGAAUCUGAAUUUACCGUCUAGACGCUCCUCACUUGCCGACAGUGCCAGUGGAUAUUGGAAAGAGAGCGAGGAUGAUAAUGGAGGCCUUAGUCCAGAAAGUCAUCAUUUUAAGGAAAAUCCAAGGCACCAACACAGCUCUAGUUGCGGCUCUUUAUCUACUGUGGUUUUGGGUCCCCUCAUCAUGGGCCCUUCAAUCUCCGUUGAUGACUGGGUCCCUGAGCGACCACCCAAGAAACCUCACUUGCGUUCAAGCUUUCCUGGUUCACUGCCACAACGCACCCCUAGUCCUGACCUGCCCCCGCCUUCUCCCCCUCCCGUUGUUGAAGACGAAGUUUUUGACACAGAUGAACCGUUACCACCGCCACCUCCGGAAGCAGAGAAUCCUGCUUGGAAUGCUGAUAGAACUUGUGAUAGCCCUGCCCCACCUAUACUCCCCAAACGGACCAACAACUUCUGCGCUACAGAUCAAAAGAAAAGUGAAGUGGAAAGGUAUUAUGAAAAUCGUGACAAUUUACAACGACUAGCCAACGACUCUUCCAUUAGUUUAGCAAAUCAAAUUUCGAAAAGUGAUGAAAAUCAAUUUUAUGAAAAUCCUGACGAUGUAAAAUUGGUGGAAAAAUCAAGGAGUAGUCCACGCAAUGUCCAAGACUCGAACAGUGGAAGUAAAUUAUCAUCCAUCCUGGAAAGACGGAAACAGUUCGAACAAAUUGAAGAACACAGUUAUAGUAACUACGCCAUCCUGAAUAGUUUAUCUCAGUCAUCUAAAAACUUACCAGGACCUCAAGUUCCUGUCGAGAGGAAGUCCUCUUUUUCAAGAAAUAGUAUUGCAAAUAGGAACAAUGGUGUGAAUAAAAGACUUUCAAACAAUAAUAGUGAUAUAGCAUUUACUAGUGAAGAUAUAGCUGCAGUGAAAGCGAGGGAAAACCUCGCAAGAAAAUCCAGUGUGAGAAGGGACGCAAUAUCUAAAAAGGCUAUGUUUCCUGCCAAAAAACCGGUUUAUCAAAGUGAAAGCUCAGUUUCGCGUCUCGCGAGUGCUGUCCAAAAACUCUCGACUAACGGGACAGUGGAAUCGGCUUCGUUUUUGCCGAUCCAGAAACAUAUUGAACCAGAGCGGUCUGGUCACGGUUUAUCGCGGCCUACAAACAACCUGGGAUCAAGAGCUCCACACCUUCCUCCUACUUUGCCGGCCCAGUGUCCACCUACCCAGCAUCAAAUCCGGUGGAGCGAGAGGGCAUUCAAAAGUCCAUGAUCACAGUGGCCACCAACGAUCAGUGUAAAAAUCACUCUUUUCGCUCCAAGACGGGGCGUAAUAACUGCAUUUUGGAGUUCCGAAAGUUCAUGACGAUCCCGAAGGAAUACCGGGGCUUAUGCACUAAUGCGUACAUGGCUCACUGCAGGAGAUUGAGACGAGGGAGUCCAAAAAUUUGCGCAUUUUUCCUCAAAACAUCCGCAGGGGACACAGCUCCACUUCAAGGAGAAUGGGUCGAUUUUUUACAGUGUGCCAACGAUAUAAAUUUGAAAUACGACGACCCGUAUACCGAGUCAGUUUUCGGGGCAGGCUCAUUGAAUUUUGAUUUAUUCGCUUUCAAUCAGGGAUAUUGACGUUGCUGUAAAUAAAUCUUUCUCCGACUUCGUUGAUUAUUUUUUUCAUUUUGAUUGAAGGUUCUGCUUUUUUGUGUCUGUCUGACAAGAGAGGCAAGAAUGUCCACGAUGUUUGGCUUUUGUGUGAUUUCUUGUGAAGUGAAGCCGUUUUAAAUUGCUGCAGAUGAUCCGCCGUCUCAAGUGUUCCUUUUUUCUGUCAGCCAAUAGUAAAUUAAUCAUAUUAAAACGAUGAGACAACCCAGCAGUAUUGAAACUAGUAACAGAGAAACUUGUAACCCUGAAAAUAGAAGUAACAUACCUCUCUUAGUGAUCGUUGAAAGUAGACUCAUGAGCACGCGUAUGCUUUGUAAAAUAAAUUUGAUUUCAAAACAAAAUCCCAUUAAAUGCAGUGUACAGGGUUGCUUUAGUCAGCGAGAACCUAGAAAUGUCAAGGAUGAAUUUCAAGAAAUUCCAGUACAUUGGAAAUUGUCAGAAAUUAUGACGAAAGGAUUUGAAAAAAUGUUUCAUAUCACCCCAAUUAGUUUUACAGAAUACACGCAACGUUUCGAACAACAAAUGUUGCAUGUUCAGAUUUAGCAGUUGUGGUUUUUACGUAUUUUUAACCAUUUCCUCGCACAGGUCACAAAAUUCAACGACAAUCCGUUAGGGAAUUGUAAUAAAAUUUGAUGAGGAAUUUUACCAACAUUUGGCGAGGAAUUUUACCAACAUUUGACGAGGAAUUUCACCAUUUGACAAUUAAUUUUAUCCAAAUUUUAGAAGGAAUUUUAUCAAAAAUUACAAGGAUUUUACCACAAUUUGACAAGGAAUUGCAUUAAAAUGUGCCAGCUAAGUUCACUGAACUUUUUUAGGAAAAUCUGGGAAAUGUCAGGGCAUUUCAUUUUAUAAAUUCUACGGCAACCCUGUUUGCCCAUCCAUAUUCGCUUUUAACACCAGUAAUUUCGCCCUGAAAACGUGCCACAGCUAAACUUGUAGAACAGACUUGUUAGUUGGCCCAUUUGAGGUCGCUCCGAGCGACAUCUCGCUUUAGACGGCAUUUUUCUGCAACGACCCGCGGUGGGAAGGGGGGGGGGUUGUUGUGCAUCGGAGGGAAAAUGCCCGGCUAAUUUUUAUUUCUCCUUGGCCUUACAUUCAAUCCCGAUGUGUUUAUUAGAGCGCGCUUCCUCGGGCCUGACUGAUGAGGCCGGUCGUGCCGGCCACUGAGCUAUCUCGGCUAUUUCAUUCCUUCCAAUUAAGCGCGAUCAAUCUUAAGUUGCUCCGCUCGGACACUCUUCUUCCUCAAAGCAGACGAGAGAGACGCCAUGCGAUCGACGGAAAUGGAACUCUUACUCUCGAGGUUUGUCAUUCGAGCAUGAACGCUUACGUGGAGCAUGUAGGAUCAAAAGGUCACCGAGUCGCUUUUGCCAACUUCCUGAGAACCGCAAGAAAAUGUAACUCCUUUUUUUUGGUAUGGUGAAAUUGUUUAGCUCUUCGCGAUACAGGGUGUCUACUGUACGGAAAAAGUGCGGAUACGCUGAAAAAGCACGGAUUUCGGAGGUCGGGGUGGAAAUACGGAAAAGGUACGGAAAUUCGAGAUUUUCUCGGUAAACGGUAGGAAGUAACAGGGUGUCCAGCAUCAGGAAAAACUAGAAAAUAUUAGGAAUUUUGGCCGAUCAGGAAAAAAAUCAGGAAAAUAUCAGGAACAUCGGAAAAAUCGGACGUUUUAUCAGGAAUUCUUCUAACGCGAAUCUCCUCAGCGGAGAAAGUCUUACUGCUUAUUGCCUACCGUGCCAGGAGUCGAAAAAAAUCAGGAAAAUAUCAGGAAUUUUCAAAAUGAAAAAAUCAGGAAAAUCUUAGAAUUUUUCAAAAUUAAAAAAUACUAGACACCCUGACUUGGAGGUUCACGGUUUCCAUGUAUUAAGUUCCCGGGUCAAUCCCUCGUGUUUUCCGGUUUAUUCCUUUGUCAUUCCAUUUUCCCAAUCCGAAUUUAGUUAAAAAUGCGUGUAAGGUGAGAAAAUAGUGAGAGAAGGUAUUGAUAUUUAAGAAUUGCCAAAAAAAUGAAUUUCGGGAAAGUAAGGAAAAAGCAAGGAAAGGGUACUGAAUAAGUAAGGAAUUUGAAUGACAGGGUACCAAUAGACAUUCUGAGAAGGAAUGUAUGGUAAAACGAACUGUGCGUGUCUUUAUAGCAACAUUUGCAAAUAUCCUAUCUAUAUUCCCGAUUGUGACACUGCGGAGGCCUAAAAUAAGAGAACCAAUCAGGAAAGGAUUCGUAUUGUCUUUACUCUCAGUACAAAGGGAGUCAACUCUACUCUAUUCGGUAGCGAUGCGGCAACCGGUAGGCCGACCGCGGCCUCCCCGAGCGAGAGUACUGAGGAAGGUGAAUAGCAAAUCAGUGAAGUGGAGUGUUGCCGCACUGGGCCACCCCGAAAAGUCGACGGGGCGAUUCGUAGCGGAGUGCGGAGACCGGGAUUUCUCCGGGCGAUCUGGCAACGCGGCCGGCGUCUAGGCACGGGCCCCCCGUAAAUUGGCCACUUGAUUACGCGGCCGGGAGGUACUUGGGUGCCGGAGAGAGUUUCGGCCACGACGCCACGCUCCAACCGGAAAUCAAAAGUCGAGGCCCUUUCGAAGCAUCCACAUGGAUUUUUCGAUUCCUUCCCGAUGGGGAAUAGAGAAUUUGCAGGAAAUUUGAUAAGUUUCGUGUUUAAGUGGAAACUAUUGAGUGAACUGAACACGAGGAUACCUUUGGUUCAUGAAUUGAACAACUAUUAGAGAAGAUAUGACAAAAUCAUCUAAUCUGCUAAAAUACGUGUGUUUAAAUGGGAAAUGCCGCCAAAUGACGUUACCAGGCGGUGCAUUUUCUCACUUUUAAAUCUAUUUUUAUACUAAUUCUCAUAACCAUAAAAAAUGCUGCAAAAUCACACUGGUAAAAAAAAAACACAUUGGAUCUAGAGUCCAGGCCCUUGAAAACUUCGACAAGCAAAUGGACUGUUGAUUCAAUCAGAUUUAAGCUUAAAUC